Molecule: ribosomal RNA, 453 nt
Filed under: uncultured bacterium
Lineage: Bacteria
Description: bacterial SSU rRNA
Rfam family: Bacterial small subunit ribosomal RNA
Source: RNAcentral
UACGGGAGGCAGCAGUGGGGAAUAUUGCACAAUGGGCGCAAGCCUGAUGCAGCCAUGCCGCGUGUAUGAAGAAGGCCUUCGGGUUGUAAAGUACUUUCAGUCGUGAGGAAGGUGUUAAGGUUAAUAACCUUAGCAAUUGACGUUAGCGACAGAAGAAGCACCGGCUAACUCCGUGCCAGCAGCCGCGGUAAUACGGAGGGUGCGAGCGUUAAUCGGAAUUACUGGGCGUAAAGGGCACGCAGGCGGUUAAUUAAGUUGGAUGUGAAAUCCCCGGGCUUAACCUGGGAAUGGCAUUCAAGACUGGUUAGCUAGAGUCUUGUAAAGGGGGUAGAAUUCCAUGUGUAGCGGUGAAAUGCGUAGAGAUGUGGAGGAAUACCGGUGGCGAAGGCGGCCCCUGGACAAAGACUGACGCUCAUGUGCGAAAGCGUGGGGAGCAAACAGGGAUUAGAUACC